GACGAACCGUGCGAACGUUGUUCGGAAUUACUGGGCGUAAAGGGCUCGUAGGCGGCCAACUAAGUCAGACGUGAAAUCCCUCGGCUUAACCGGGGAACUGCGUCUGAUACUGGAUGGCUUGAGUUCGGGAGAGGGAUGCGGAAUUCCAGGUGUAGCGGUGAAAUGCGUAGAUAUCUGGAGGAACACCGGUGGCGAAGGCGGCAUCCUGGACCGAAACUGACGCUGAGGAGCGAAAGCCAGGGGAGCAAACGGG
Molecule: ribosomal RNA, 253 nt
Filed under: uncultured bacterium
Lineage: Bacteria
Description: partial 16S ribosomal RNA
Rfam family: Bacterial small subunit ribosomal RNA
Source: RNAcentral